This 241-nucleotide ribosomal RNA is filed under the name uncultured bacterium. RNAcentral describes it as "partial 16S ribosomal RNA". It matches the Rfam family "Bacterial small subunit ribosomal RNA", at positions 118 to 351 of the family's 1533-position model. The record is from RNAcentral.
UGGGUAACGUGCCCCGAUGACCGGGAUAACCCGAGGAAACUCGGGCUAAUACCGGAUGUUUUUGCACGGCCGUAAGGCUGUGUAGAAAAGGAAGCUUCGGCCUCCGCAUCGGGAGCGGCCCGCGGCCCAUUAGCUUGUUGGUGAGGUAAAGGCUCACCAAGGCAACGAUGGGUAGCUGGUCUGAGAGGAUGGCCAGCCACAUUGGGACUGAGACACGGCCCAGACUCCUACGGGGAGGCAG